This 484-nucleotide ribosomal RNA is filed under the name uncultured bacterium. RNAcentral describes it as "partial 16S ribosomal RNA". It matches the Rfam family "Bacterial small subunit ribosomal RNA", at positions 28 to 507 of the family's 1533-position model. The record is from RNAcentral.
AUUGAACGCUGGCGGCAUGCUUUACACAUGCAAGUCGAACGGCAGCGCCGGCUUCGGCCUGGCGGCGAGUGGCGAACGGGUGAGUAAUGCAUCGGAACGAGCCCAGUAGUGGGGUAUAGCCCGGCGAAAGCCGGCUUAAUACCACAUACGACCUGAGGGCGUAAGCGUGGGUCCGGAAUGCCUCACGCUUGUGGAGCGGCCGAUGGUGGAUUAGCUAGUUGGUGGGGUAAAGGCUUACCAAGGCGACGAUCCGUAGCUGGUCUGAGAGGACGACCGGCCACACUGGGACUGAGACACGGCCCAGACUCCUACGGGAGGCAGCAGUGGGGAAUUUUGGACAAUGGGGGCAACCCUGAUCCAGCAAUGCCGCGUGAGGGAAGAAGGCCUUCGGGUUGUAAAACGCUUUUGUUCGGGAAGAAAUCCUCUGGGCUAAUACCACGGGGGGAUGACGGUACCGGACGAAUAAGGACCGGCUAACUACGUG